UACGUAGGGGCCUAGCGUUGUCCGGAUUUAUUGGGCGUAAAGAGCUCGUAGGCGGUUUGGUGAGUCGGGUGUGAAAUCUCCACGCUCAACGUGGAGGGGCCACCCGAUACUGCCAUGACUAGAGUCCGGUAGGGGAGUGUGGAAUUCCCGGUGUAGCGGUGAAAUGCGCAGAUAUCGGGAGGAACACCAGUAGCGAAGGCGGUUCUCUGGGCCUUACCUGACGCUGAGGAGCGAAAGCGUGGGGAGCGAACAGG
This 254-nucleotide ribosomal RNA is filed under the name uncultured bacterium. Its description in RNAcentral is "partial 16S ribosomal RNA". It matches the Rfam family "Bacterial small subunit ribosomal RNA", at positions 524 to 776 of the family's 1533-position model. The record is from RNAcentral.